CCUACGGGGAGCAGCAGUGGGGAAUAUUGGGCAAUGGGCGCAAGCCUGACCCAGCAACGCCGCGUGAAGGAAGAAGGCUUUCGGGUUGUAAACUUCUUUUGUCAGGGACGAAGCAAGUGAUGGUACCUGACGAAUAAGCCACGGCUAACUACGUGCCAGCAGCCGCGGUAAUACGUAGGUGGCAAGCGUUAUCCGGAUUUAUUGGGUGUAAAGGGUGUGUAGGCGGGCAUGCAAGUCAGAUGUGAAAACUAUGGGCUCAACCCAUAGACUGCAUUUGAAACUGUAUUUCUUGAGUGCUGGAGAGGCAAUCGGAAUUCCGUGUGUAGCGGUGAAAUGCGUAGAUAUCCGGAGGAACACCAGUGGCGAAGGCGGAUUGCUGGACAGUAACUGACGCUGAGGCGCGAAAGCGUGGGGAGCAAACAGGAUUAGAUACCCCUGUAGUC
Molecule: ribosomal RNA, 443 nt
Filed under: uncultured bacterium
Lineage: Bacteria
Description: partial 16S ribosomal RNA
Rfam family: Bacterial small subunit ribosomal RNA
Source: RNAcentral